This is a small nucleolar RNA of Cynara cardunculus var. scolymus (artichoke), 106 nucleotides long. The record is from RefSeq and is a predicted model, not a curated record. Lineage: Eukaryota; Viridiplantae; Streptophyta; Magnoliopsida; Asterales; Asteraceae.
AUUACAUGAUGAGGGCAUUUCCGAAGAAGUUCCUUAAAUCUCUCCCAAACAUUUGAGACUGCUUCAUCACCCCUUGCUGAAACAUCAAAAUUUCAUUUCUAAAUUU